Molecule: small RNA, 485 nt
Filed under: Pongo abelii (Sumatran orangutan)
Lineage: Eukaryota; Metazoa; Chordata; Mammalia; Primates; Hominidae
Description: processed transcript
Source: RNAcentral
UGUCAGAGAUGGCUUUGGAUUCCCUGUUCUGCGUGCUCCUGCCUGGCUCCUGAACCCAGCUGGAGAGGUGUGUCAAUCCCAACUGGUGAAGUACUGAGAGGAAGCUGCACAAAAGGCAGCAAGGUAUUAAUAAGUCUGAGUGGUGUCAUUGAGCAAACACAGAGUGGGGCUCAUCGAGGGAUGAGAUUUUGCCAGAGAAAGGACGAGCAGCAAGUCAGGGAGCUUAAGCGUCAGCCUCGAGUUUGACCAGCAACAGGGGUCGGUGUGUCCCUCUGAAUCUGAGAUCUAUGAGGCAGGAGCUGGGGACAGGAUGGCAGGCAAGCCCAUGGCUGCUGCUAUACAGCCUGCUGAGGUGACUGUUGAAGUUGGUGAGGACCUUCACAUGCACCACAUCCGUGACUGGGAGACGCCUGAAGCUUUGGAGCUUAACCUUUCUGCCAAUCCAGAGGCAAGCACAAUAUUCCAGAGGAACUCUCAAACAGAUG